This 1272-nucleotide long non-coding RNA is filed under the name Volvox carteri. RNAcentral's name for it is "long non-coding RNA (VCAR_LNC002233)". Lineage: Eukaryota; Viridiplantae; Chlorophyta; Chlorophyceae; Chlamydomonadales; Volvocaceae. The record is from RNAcentral.
AUUCGCGACUCCGUACACGUGCGCGUCCCUACACGUACAUCUCCGUACGUGUACGGGAUAAUAUCGAUUCCAGCAGCCCUACACCUGAAUGCAGGACAGUUACGCGCUUAAUGAGUGCUGAAUAGAUAGGUCGAUCGUCGUUGGACCAUUCUUACUUCUUAUUAGUUGCUGUUCCUGGAUUCGAUUCCUGCACGCAAUCGCGAAUCAUCCUUUGCCAGUUCGCAUGAUAGAGGACGACGGGGGAGAUACUGUGUACACGGGGGCCGGGAGUUGGGUUUAAGGCCAGUGUUGUCAGUCGUAUAUGUACGAGGAUGCGUGUGUUUGCAUCCGGCAGGGGUGGGAUGGGAUGGGCGUGCGCGCGUGCUUUGGUCUUGCAUUAGAUAAUAACACAUAUGCAGGUUCGGGUCCAAAAAAGCAGGCAGGCAGGGAGUUAGGUCUUAUUAUGAGCUAGAGACCAAGCAGACGUACCAAGCUGCUGAGAUGACGGAGACCACAUUGAUUCUGACCUUAUCAGUCACCAAUUAAUCGCUGCUGUGUAUAUGAUAUUAGAUGACUAUCUCCCAUGCUGGCGUACGUAGUCUUUGGAAGCCUGCUGGUGUCUUUAGAGCUCAAUCCUCAGACGGCAUUUCUGCGUGAAGAUCUAGCGGGCCUGAUUAGAGGUUUUGGCAUCCCGGGUAGCAGCUGGGUUUUGCGCUACCCCCGUGCGUGUGGGCAUCAUUGCGCAUAUGUGCGGCACGUAAAUGGCGGAGAUGCAUGAGAGCCAGCGCCUGGGUACUAGCAUGUCCUGACCUUUCGCUGACGGACCUGUUAACUGUCAGCAUGCGAUGGAUGGGCAAAUCCCAGAUUUGGAAUGCUGUGUGUGCUGCUCGUGCUUAGAGUGCUAUCGAGCGAUGGAUGACGUGGACGAAUAGUCACAACACAACGCUUCUGGCUAGCUCGUAAAAGCUGUCGCGAUUGCUGAAAGGAAGAGGUUAGCGGAAAAGGGGACUAAGCAUCGAACCUUUCUGUAAUCUUACAGCUCCCAGGAGCUUACCGGUGCACAAAGCAUUCGUGAUAAGUGCUGAGCAGCUCGGCAACAGGCAACACAAAUUAUUUGCCGGGGAUGAUGUGAUAUAGGCUAGUACAACGAACCCCCGUAGAGAGCCUUAGCCAUCGGAGCUUUGCCUCAUGCAGAGCUUCAAAGAAAGCAAACGCUGGAUUGUAUGCGUUGUAAAAGAAGCCCUAACUAAGAUUUACUUCGGGAAGGAGAAGUUGGAGGCAGGUAGGAGGGCG